This 1899-nucleotide long non-coding RNA is filed under the name Lathyrus oleraceus (garden pea). RNAcentral's name for it is "Pisum sativum (pea) long non-coding RNA (PSAT_LNC019438)". Lineage: Eukaryota; Viridiplantae; Streptophyta; Magnoliopsida; Fabales; Fabaceae. The record is from RNAcentral.
AAUAGGGGGGUUUCACUCUUGGAAAUGGUGUCAGAAGAAAAUAAGGGCGCAGGGCCCAUAACUGAGCCCAUUAGCCAAUGCCUAGAACAGUCGGGGGGUGCGUGGUAAAACGUGGGGUGUAACACUGAAAAAAUGGGCCUAUGGGAGCAAGCUUGGCUCAGAGCACACAAUGGAAGAGGGAAGCUAAUUCAGCUAUUCAAAAGAGAUGAAGAAAAAUGCACACCGUGACUUCCCAACAUAUUCACCGGAGAAGAUGAAGCUGAUGACGACGAGAUUCUUAGGUACGCUCCUUCUACUAUGCACCUACCUUUUCUUUAUGGCCUUCGAAAGACACUUCUUUUUCCUCUCUUUCUCGUAUUGAGUCUUGAGUUCAUGUUUUUGAUGAGUGAGGUUGAUUUGUGAGUGAAUUUUGAUUGAGUGUGAUCAAUUGAGAGUGAGGUUGAUUUAUGAAGUUGAGUGAUGAAUUUUCAGUGAUGAAUGUGAGAGUGUGAUUGGAGAUGAUGAAUGAUUCUGAGAUUUUUUUCAGGGGAUGGAUUUGGUGAAAAAAAUGGGAAAAUGAGAGAGAGCCCCCUGAGUCAGUGAUGAUGAGUUUCUUACAGGUGGGUCGAGUUUAACUGAAUUGGUUAGAGUUUGUUAUUUUUCUGUUACAUUAUUAGACAUGCUGUCUAUUAGGGAUUUGGUUUUGGUUAGGGAAUUGUCAUUUCUGUUAGGUUUUUGUGUUAGGCCUGUUAUGAUAUGGAAUAGUUGGUUAGGAAAAUUAGGGUAGUUAUGAGCUGGUUGUGUGAUGUUAGUUGCAAGUUAGUGAAUGAGUGGUUAAUUAGGAUUGAUUAAAAUGCAGGUUAAUUGGAUGGUCUGUGAUGGUUCAGUUAGUUUUGCUGUUGGCUUUGUUGAAUGAUAUGCUUUUCAUUGUAUUGUGAACUAUUGUGUUGCCAUGCUAGUGUAUAUGAUGCUGCUGCUUUGAUGUUUUGCUGCCAUGGCAUUGUGGUUGUGAUAUUGUGCACUGCUGGCCUACUAGUUAUGUGUUGUGUAUGGAAAUGUUUUCCUUGUAUGAUUGUUGAUAGUGCAUUGUGAUGAUAGGCCUGUUUUUGAAACAUUGCUUGAAUGGAUUUGUGAUAGGGCUGCAACUUGGUGAAUGCUUGCUAGGUGAUGUAUUGACUGUGAUAUGAAUUGUUUGUAUAACCAUGUAUUGUUUGGAUGCUAUAUCUUUGUUGGAAAUGUAUGGUUAUCUUAGUAUGCUUGUUAUGUUUGGUAGUGAAAAUGCCAUGAUGAAAGUUAUGAGUGCUUGGUCAUGCUUGAAAUGUAUGAAUGGAAAGGUUUGACCUUGGUUUGUAGUAUAGUGUAUUGGAAUGUUAUUGAUGGAACAUGCUCAUGUAUGCCUUGCUUUGUGGAUGAGUGAACGCUUAAGUUUGACUUUGUUAUGAAUUGCUUGAAUGUGGGGCUGUUUUAGACAAAGUCAUGUUUGGAAAUGUGAUAUGUCAUUGUAACUUGUUAACAUAAUGCUUUGGUUGGUUUUUGUAGGAUGUGCAAAAGUGAUGGAACGAUGGAACAAUGCAAAGAUGACUUGUACUUGAAAACACAAUGGGAAGAUUUGGACCAUGGCAAUAUCAAGUGGAACAUUCAAGUGAAAAUGGACAUUAGGUUUUAGGAUGGUCAAAGUUGGUUAGUUGACUUUGGUCAACUGGUUGACCAAAAAGUCAACUUAAGUAGAAAAAUGUAUUUUUGUGUAGUGACUCUUGUAUAGACAUUUGCAAUGUAUGAUUGCAUGAAUGUAAUGACACUUUGUGAUAUAAUGGAUUGAUAUUGAAAUAGCAAUGAUGUUGUAUGCAAUUGGACUUGGAAAUGGAAUGGACCUUGAAUGAAUCAUGAAAUCAAUAACACAUGACUUGAAUGAAAUAGACC